GGGAGCAGGAGAGGGAAGAGGCCACGCUGAGGCUGCACUUGCCUGUUCCUUCCCUGGGGAUGCUGCUGACUGGACCCACCUCAGCACUGUGUGGGGUGUCUCUGCCUGGCCUUGUGCUCCUCAUGCAUAGAGGUGAAAAGGGACAGGGCCCUGGGAUGUUCCCUGGGUAUGGACAGGAGCUGCCACAGCUGAAGCUGGAGAGGCCUGAGAAAGGGGAUGAAGAAGAAAAUGAAGGCCAUCUGGGCAGCACCCACCUCGCACUGCAGGGAGAGAGCGCCUGCCUCUCUGGGUGAGGAAGAAUCCGUCGUCAGAGGCCACAGCGGGCCAGAGCACCAACAUGCCCCAGGGUCUGUGUGCGUCACCCCAGGCGCGGUCCGGCCGCGCAGUGCACAAGCGAGCGAGGCUGCGUGAACAGGGAGCUGCAUCUUGUGAGAGCUGAGAGACCCCCGCGUAUUCUUUGAGGGGGAGGGCUGGAGCUACGGAAGAGGAAGGGGGGAGAGAAGGAGAAAGAAGGGUCUGAAGUGGCAAGUUUUCCUGGCAGCACUGAGAGCGACGGCCGCCGUGAGUCGCGGACCCUCAGGGCCGUGUUGCCCCUCUUGUGCAUUUUGGGCUCUUCCCUGGC
Athene cunicularia (burrowing owl) is the source of this 622-nucleotide long non-coding RNA. RefSeq lists it as uncharacterized. The record is from RefSeq and is a predicted model, not a curated record. The transcript has 3 exons. Lineage: Eukaryota; Metazoa; Chordata; Aves; Strigiformes; Strigidae.